Molecule: long non-coding RNA, 2120 nt
Organism: Numida meleagris (helmeted guineafowl)
Lineage: Eukaryota; Metazoa; Chordata; Aves; Galliformes; Numididae
Source: Ensembl
AUGAGCUUGCCAGUAGGCCUCCAAGGAAUAUGCCGCAGCUGUGGACUUGUUAGGUCUCCUCUUCUGAAGGAAAUCUUGGGAGGAAACAAGUCAUCUGGUUUAUUUUCAACCGAUCUCCCAGCUUGCCCUCGAAACAUAAGUAAAUGUAUCUAUAUCUUUUUUCAAAACAUUAUAACUUUGAAUCAAGUAGAAAAAAAUACUUAUUUUGUGCAAUGGCUAAGUGAAUUAAUUGUCAUUUUUAGAAGCUGGAAUAGCUGAAAUGGUUCACAGACCCCAAUCCAAGUUUACAGGUAAUUAUUCAUUUAACAAAUUGCAGUUGUGUGUUGUUUUUUGGUGGUUUAUUUCCCCCUCCUGUCUUUUCCAGACAUAGCUGUCAUCUCUAGUUUUACAUGGAAAGACAAAAUUUAUUGCCAAAUCCUGUUUUCAAUUCUGGAUGCAGAACAUUAGAAACAAAGAGCUUGCUCAGCUUGGAACCAUUUAUGGUAUUUGUCUCCUUCUUGUAGACAGUGUUUUCUAUUGAAAAUUAAUUUCUUAAAUGACUGAAAAAUGAAUACAAGAUAGUUUAUUUUCUUUAUCUUCCUAGUGCUGGAAAUGCAGAAGAUAGGGACAUGAACUGAGAGCACAUCAAAGUGCAGAAUUUCUGCUUCAUUUUCAUACUAUGCAUAACAAAAUCCAUAAAGUGAGCCUCGGGAGUCAGACUCAAGGGCCUCUUGAUUAAGAAUUAAAUUACAGGUAUGAUUUACUAAAUUUGUGCUUGGGGAAAGGAGCUUUUUGAUGAUGAUGUGAUUGGUAAACUACGUAUUGCCUCAGCACCAUAUUAAAAUUAAUGGGAAUUGCAUAACUGUACAUACAAAAUACUUCACGAACCUUAAAACAACAUUUUGUCUGGUGUGUUAAGCCACACAACUGAAAUCCUGUGUCUCUAACUCCUUUACUAAAACCCAAGAGGGGUGUUGAGCUGGCACCCGCUCUUCUGGGACUGAGAUGUCUUUUGUUCUCAAGGAAGAUGUAAUAAGAGGCGCUUUCAUAUCAGCUCCUAUCUGAUUUUGUUUGCAUUAGGUUUCAUACAGUUGCUUUAAAACACUGAAAUGUGGAGCUAUUUGAAAGCAUUUCAAGGGCUAUGUGUUUUUACUGGGCUAAGAUAAAUUCCUCUUACAUUGCUUUCAAAACUGCUUGGAAUUAUUCUUAACGUAUCUUUAUUGCAUAAGUGUUGGCUUAGUUGGGAUCCUUAGCCAUGUUUUGGGUUCCAAGGUGCUGUCACAUACAAGCAACAUACGAAAACAAAGCUUGGAAGGAGAAAUAAUACCUUUAUUUCAUACUCAGGUGGAUGCAGAGAUGAGAGUUAUGUGGUAUGAGAGUUCCUGUGCCGCAGCCUCUGUCUGAGGACCCAUCUGUGUGAAUCAUGUCCAGCACAUAGCUUUGGGCCAGCAUGGAUAUGGCAGUGCUGCUGCUUUGUGUAAUGCAGACUGGUGUGGGGCAUCACAAAACACCUAUGUCAGCCUGUGCUAUAGUAUGAGUAAAUCAACAGUACUUUUGAUCAGCCUGCAGUGCGAAGUCUCUGCUCUUCCAUUAUUGUUUGGCUGUGUCAAGACAGGCGAGUUAGCCCAGUGUUUUUCACAGCUCCAAAUAACUGGUAUUCCCCCUUCCAUGGAUGCAGACAGGAAUUCAUUGUGAGGAGAUGGGAAUGGUCAGGGUCAGGUUUUCCAGCAUUCUGAGGUCACAUUAAUUUCUCUGAUCCAGGAGUGGCCUUUUUGCUGCCUGCACUUCAGAGAUUGGGCAACAGUCAUUUCGCUCUAUCCGUCUGUGAUCCUUCAUUGGGUUUCAAGAUUGCCCUAUUCCUCUAAAAACCUGGUGUUUUUGUUUUUGUUGUUGUUGUCAUUGCAACUUUGCAGCUUUUGUCCAGUAGCAGCAGAACGUAGAACUUUUUGUCUAAUGGGAAAAGUGCUUGAAUUAUCUCCACCUUAUGUCAGGGCUCCAUCACCUGCAGGCCCUGAAUUCGUUAAGGAGGGAGCUCUCACUCAGAGCAAGAGCAAAAAAACAUGGAAGGCCGGUUUCUUCUAAUGUAAAACAAAGCACAUAAUUAAAAUAAACAAAAUAACAUGAACCGUAAGGUCUUUCUG